This 74-nucleotide transfer RNA is filed under the name Aminicella lysinilytica. RNAcentral describes it as "Eubacteriaceae bacterium WN037 tRNA". It matches the Rfam family "tRNA". From Rfam's summary of the family: Transfer RNA (tRNA) molecules are approximately 80 nucleotides in length. The record is from Rfam by way of RNAcentral. Lineage: Bacteria; Bacillati; Bacillota; Clostridia; Peptostreptococcales; Anaerovoracaceae.
GGGCUCAUAGCUCAGCUGGAUAGAGCAACGGCCUUCUAAGCCGUGUGUCCGGAGUUCGAAUCUCCGUGGGCUCA